Molecule: long non-coding RNA, 2319 nt
Organism: Gossypium arboreum
Lineage: Eukaryota; Viridiplantae; Streptophyta; Magnoliopsida; Malvales; Malvaceae
Exons: 2
Source: RefSeq, a predicted model, not a curated record
CAAAACAAUAAAAGAAGAAAUAUGCCGAAGCAAGAGAGAGGCGAAUCUGAAUCUAACAAAAUGUCAAUUGUCAUUGCUAGCUUUUCCUAUUCUAACAUAGCAUUUGGCAACAAGAGAAAGGUGAAUUUGUAAGGAAACGUCACAACUAAAACUUCCCUUUCUAAACCCAGAUCCCUAGAAUCUAUCAACCCAAAACCUCAUUCGGGUUUCUCAAAUUUUUAUUUCGUCUAUCGAGGAGAAGAAAGCUUCACAGAGGAGAAGCGAUAGUCAAAGUUUCAUCUCCAUCUGACAGUGGAGAUGGUAGAUGGGGGUAUUUUGAUUUUGAAUUUUUUCUUUGUGUUUCUAAUAUUAUAGGGAGCUUUCUCUUAAAGUGAAAGUCGGUAGAUGAAAAGGUAUAUAGAUGGGAAACUUAGUUGCAAAGCAUUUAACCUUUGCAGAGUUCGUUAAUGGUCAUAUAGAUGUGUAAAUUUUCGACAUGUUUUUUGUAUUUUCAAAUUUUGCAGCAAUGGCUUUGUUCUCGGAUUCUUCCAAACAAUCUCUUCUCACAACCUUCCUCCAACAACUCUGCCUUCCUCACGUUGCAUCAUCAUCACUACUAGAGGCCACAUGACCACACCCAUCCGGUGUCCACCAAGGCACCAGCCCACCACUGCCAUUCGUCUGCCACCCCUCUCUGACGAUGCUAAGAUAUCUCUGACGGAUCUUAAAUGUGUUUUUGUGCUGGGGGGUUUCGGUUUCAUCAUUUUAUUUAUUUUGCUGAUCCAAAUUCGAGUCAUAAAGAUUGGGAUUUAGAAUUUUUCUCUUCUUCUUCCCUUUUGUUUUUCUCUUCUUAUUUAUCUCUUCUUCUACUGCUCAGUUAGGGUUCUAAUAUUGGGACUAAUUAAAUGACAAGUAAAAUGCUAUCGUGACCAGUUAAAUGACAGGUCAACUUUUCAUUACAUUUUAAUAGAAAAGAACUGAUUUGUUAAUUAAGUAACUGAGUUAAAAGCUGAAUGAUUGUUUUAUUAUUGAAACCAAAAUUGAGUGAUUACUUUUACCUUUAAUUUUUUAUUUUUUAUAAGCGUGGUGGAGCCCAUUUGUUUUUUGAACUUUUCGUUUUCUUUCCCCUUUUUUUUUUAGUUUCUUUUCUUCCCCUCCAGCUCAAAUGUUCUAUCAACUCUCUAAAACUAGAAGCCAAACCCAGAAUCUGGCUAACUCCGGUGUCGGGUCGCUGUGCCAGCCGUCAUUUCCGAUGGCUCGAGGAGCCCAAAUUUCAUCUCCAAGUUCGUUAUCUCAUGCUCUUUUUGAAUCUAUCUUCCGUUUCUUCAAAAUAAUCACCGAUUUUCUUGAUUUAAAACCAAAGUUGUAGCCUACCUUUCUCCGAUCUCCCUCCCCCAUCGUCGGAUCAGUUUUUGUUUUCUGUACGUUGUUUAUCUACUCUUAAGCUUCAAUUUCACCGUUGAGAUCUACGAAUGGAGCACCAAAGCCUCAUUAGGCUUGUCCUCUCCACUAUCCAAAUUCAUGGAUUUAGGGGUUCGUUGUUGACGUUUGGGUUUUGUUUUCAGUGGCUUGGGGUUUCUGGUUCGUGGGGUAUUAGUGGGUUGAAGAUGAGAGUUGGAUGUUGAAGAUGAUAAUGGUGAAAGUUCAUAGGUGAGAUGAAGGUGGUGAUUAAAGAACAGGGGAAAAAAAGAAGGGAGAAAAUAAGAAACGUGAUGAUGUCAUCACUUAACGGCACAAUUCAUAACAUUUUUGAGAUUGGUAACGGCACAGUAAUCAAAAUGUUUUUAAGAUUAUAAAAUUUAAUGAUCAAAAUGUAACUUAAAUCAUAUACAUAUAUAAUUACUUUUAUAGUUUACCUGAAAAUAAAGAAGACAAUAAUCUGAGACAUUUCCUUUCCAAAGGCCUUCGGCCAAACUUCCGGACACUCGCUCACAAGAGCUUCUUCCUUCUGUUUUCUUCUAUUUUCUUUCUUUUGCUGCUUUUACAUUCUUUUUCAAUUUUCUCUACAUUUGACUUUAAAGCCUAAUCAAAACCCAAAUUUUCCUAUUUUUCUACAACUUUCCUACACUGGAACCCUAAGCCAAAUUUAGAAGGAACAAGAGCAAGAGAAUUAGGAGGGGCCUAGAGUUGGCUAUAUUUUACAUACAUUCCUUCCAAGGAUGAAUUGCUUGAAAAUAAACGAUUUCGGAAACGAUUGAACCACGAAACCUUCAUCUCGCCAGAGCCGGUGCAUUGCCCCUCACCUUCCUCCUCACUACUAAACAGAGUUUGGUCUGAACAGUCUAGUGAUGCUCCACAUGCUAAAUUAUACGCCUGACAUGCUGAAUGGCAUACUCGUAG